RNAcentral lists this long non-coding RNA (275 nucleotides) under Manihot esculenta (cassava). RNAcentral describes it as "long non-coding RNA (MESC_LNC013004)". The record is from RNAcentral. Lineage: Eukaryota; Viridiplantae; Streptophyta; Magnoliopsida; Malpighiales; Euphorbiaceae.
AUUGUUAUUUAUUUUGCGCCUAUCGUUUCUUUUUUAAUGUCUAGGCACUGUCGUUUAUUUUGUGCCCUAUUGUUUCUUUUUUUAAUGUUCUUGACUUUAAACUAACUAAAGUGAACAAUUAAAGUUUUAUUUUAAUUGAAUAUUUGAAUAAAUGAUUACUAAUGAAUAAUAAUUUUGUUUAUAAUGUAUGAGUACAAUAUUUUAAGGUAAGAAACGCACUAUCAUUUAUUUUGCGUCCAAUCGUUUCUUUUUUAUUGUUCUUAACGUUAAAGAAA